UACGAAGGGGGCGAGCGUUGUUCGGAAUUACUGGGCGUAAAGGGCGCGUAGGCGGCGCUGGAAGUCAGGCGUGAAAGCCCCGGGCUUAACCUGGGAAUUGCGUUUGAUACUCCAGUGCUUGAGUUCGGGAGAGGAGAGUGGAAUUCCCAGUGUAGAGGUGAAAUUCGUAGAUAUUGGGAAGAACACCAGUGGCGAAGGCGGCUCUCUGGACCGACACUGACGCUGAGGCGCGAAAGCGUGGGGAGCAAACAGG
Molecule: ribosomal RNA, 253 nt
Filed under: uncultured bacterium
Lineage: Bacteria
Description: partial 16S ribosomal RNA
Rfam family: Bacterial small subunit ribosomal RNA
Source: RNAcentral